This 197-nucleotide ribosomal RNA is filed under the name uncultured bacterium. Its description in RNAcentral is "partial 16S ribosomal RNA". It matches the Rfam family "Bacterial small subunit ribosomal RNA", at positions 328 to 539 of the family's 1533-position model. The record is from RNAcentral.
ACGCUCGACACCUACGGGGGCAGCAGUGGGGAAUAUUGCACAAUGGGGGAAACCCUGAUGCAGCGACGCCGCGUGAGUGAAGAAGUAUUUCGGUAUGUAAAGCUCUAUCAGCAGGGAAGAAGAUGACGGUACCUGAGUAAGAAGCCCCGGCUAACUACGUGCCUGCAGCCGCGGUAAUCUGAGCGGGCUGGCAAGGC